UUGACAUGCAGAGAACUUUCCAGAGAUGGAUUGGUGCCUUCGGGAACUCUGACACAGGUGCUGCAUGGCUGUCGUCAGCUCGUGUCGUGAGAUGUUGGGUUAAGUCCCGUAACGAGCGCAACCCUUGUCCUUAGUUACCAGCACGUUAUGGUGGGCACUCUAAGGAGACUGCCGGUGACAAACCGGAGGAAGGUGGGGAUGACGCCAAGUCAUCAUGGCCCUUACGGCCUGGGCUACACACGUGCUACAAUGGUCGGUACAAAGGGUUGCCAAGCCGCGAGGUGGAGCUAAUCCCAUAAAACCGAUCGUAGUCCGGAUCGCAGUCUGCAACUCGACUGCGUGAAGUCGGAAUCGCUAGUAAUCGUGAAUCAGAAUGUCACGGUGAAUACGUUCCCGGGCCUU
Molecule: ribosomal RNA, 402 nt
Filed under: uncultured Pseudomonas sp.
Lineage: Bacteria; Pseudomonadati; Pseudomonadota; Gammaproteobacteria; Pseudomonadales; Pseudomonadaceae
Description: bacterial SSU rRNA
Rfam family: Bacterial small subunit ribosomal RNA
Source: RNAcentral